This 484-nucleotide ribosomal RNA is filed under the name uncultured bacterium. RNAcentral describes it as "partial 16S ribosomal RNA". It matches the Rfam family "Bacterial small subunit ribosomal RNA", at positions 28 to 523 of the family's 1533-position model. The record is from RNAcentral.
GACGAACGCUGGCGGCGUGCUUAACACAUGCAAGUCGAACGAUGAAGCCGGAGCUUGCUCUGGUGAAUUAGUGGCGAACGGGUGAGUAACACGUGAGUAACCUGCCCUUGACUCUGGGAUAACUGCGGGAAACUGUAGCUAAUACCGGAUACGACCCUCGGAGGCAUCUCCUGGGGGUGGAAAGAAUUUCGGUCAAGGAUGGACUCGCGGCCUAUCAGCUAGUUGGUGAGGUAAAGGCUCACCAAGGCGACGACGGGGAGCCGGCCUGAGAGGGUGGCCGGCCACACUGGGACGAAGACACGGCCCAGACUCCGACGGGAGGCAGCAGUGGGGAAUAUUGCACAAAGGGCGCAAGCCUGAUGCAGCAACGCCGCGUGAGGGAUGACGGCCUUCGGGUUGUAAACCUCUUUUAGCAGGGAAGAAGCGAAAGUGACGGUACCUGCAGAAAAAGCACCGGCUAACUACGUGCCAGCCGCCGCCGUAA